GGAACUACCACAGUCUGCCGCAGGGUGGCACGGGAUUCCGCGAGGAUGCCAGAAGGUGCCAGAUGUUCUGUUGGCGUCCUCGAGUCUUGACCUUCAGCAUGCACUUGGAGCGGUUCACAGCAAAGUGUGAGAGUCAGCUCCUUUAAGUUUGAGGCCAUGGUUCUCCAAAGAUGAGAAUUCCUCCUGAGCGCCUCCCUUUGGAGGUUUACCGGGAACGUCUCACUGGGAAGAGUCCUUGGGGUGGACACAGAAUGAGGUGGAGGGACCAUCAAUCCCUUCUUGCCAAGGAAUGCCUUGGUAUUCACCAGAAUAACCUGGGGAUGGAUGGAUGGACGGCUAGAUUGAUGAAUUUAACUGAAAAUAAAAAUUUUUUAAAUGUUAAAAUAA
Long non-coding RNA from Girardinichthys multiradiatus, 387 nucleotides. RefSeq lists it as uncharacterized. The transcript is spliced from 2 exons. The record is from RefSeq and is a predicted model, not a curated record. NCBI's taxonomy places the organism in Eukaryota, Metazoa, Chordata, Actinopteri, Cyprinodontiformes, Goodeidae.